CUACGGGGCGCUCCAGUGAGGAAUAUUGGUCAAUGGGCGCGAGCCUGAACCAGCCAUCCCGCGUGCAGGAUGACGGCCCUAUGGGUUGUAAACUGCUUUUCUAUGCCAAGAAACCUGAUUACGUGUAAUCAGUUGCCGGUAGCAUAGGAAUAAGCAUCGGCUAACUCCGGGCCAGCAGCCGCGGUAAUACGGAGGAUGCAAGCGUUAUCCGGAUUCAUUGGGUUUAAAGGGUGCGCAGGUGGGCUUGUAAGUCAGUGGUGAAAUGCUGCCGCUUAACGGUAGAACUGCCAUUGAUACUGCGAGUCUUGAGUAUGGUUGAGGUAGGCGGAAUGUGUUGUGUAGCGGUGAAAUGCAUAGAUAUGACAUAGAACGCCAAUUGCGAAGGCAGCUUACUAAGCCAUUACUGACGCUGAGGCACGAAAGCGUGGGGAGCGAACAGGAUUAGAUACCCCGGUAGUC
This 459-nucleotide ribosomal RNA is filed under the name uncultured bacterium. RNAcentral's name for it is "partial 16S ribosomal RNA". It matches the Rfam family "Bacterial small subunit ribosomal RNA", at positions 339 to 795 of the family's 1533-position model. The record is from RNAcentral.